CCUACGGGUGGCAGCAGUGGGGAAUAUUGCACAAUGGGGGGAACCCUGAUGCAGCGACGCCGCGUGAGUGAAGAAGUUUUUCGGUAUGUAAAGCUCUAUUAGCAGGGAAGAAGAUGACGGUACCUGACUAUGAAGCCCCGGCUAACUACGUGCCAGCAGCCGCGGGAAUACGUAGGGGGCAAGCGUUAGCCGGAUUUAAUGGGCGUAAAGGGAGCGUAGACGGCAGGGCAAGUCUGGAGUGAAAGCCCGGGGCCCAACCCCGGGACCGCUUUGGAAACUGCCAGGCUAGAGUGCUGGAGAGGUAAGCGGAAUGCCUAGUGUAGCGGUGAAAUGCGUAGAUAUUGGGAAGAACACCAGUGGCGAAGGCGGCUUACUGGACAGUAACUGACGUUGAGGCUCGAAAGCGUGGGGAGCAAACAGGAUUAGAUACCCGUGUAGUC
Molecule: ribosomal RNA, 440 nt
Filed under: uncultured bacterium
Lineage: Bacteria
Description: partial 16S ribosomal RNA
Rfam family: Bacterial small subunit ribosomal RNA
Source: RNAcentral